RNAcentral lists this long non-coding RNA (650 nucleotides) under Homo sapiens (human). RNAcentral's name for it is "non-protein coding lnc-PRPF4B-1:3". The record is from RNAcentral. Lineage: Eukaryota; Metazoa; Chordata; Mammalia; Primates; Hominidae.
UGCUCCAUUUAAAGACAUGAAAUGAACUACAGCCAGGAAGGUGAUAGAUGAUAUAAUAAGCCACCUCUGAACCUACACCCCGUCUCUUCACGGUUUAGACUUACUAAAAUAAAUACAAGGUGAUUUUCAUCUUCAGGUAGAGUGAAGCCUUUUAAUUAAGGCGUCACAGGUGCAGCUAUUCUACCUUAAUGAAAUGGGUAGUGAUUUUCCCACCAUUAUUUAUUUCGGUGAUAAUAUGCUGCAUAUUCAAGUCUCUUGUAGUUAUUUUCACCCAAAGUAGUUGACAAUUUGAUGCUUCUGGUGAUGUUUAUGGCUUCAUUUUAUGUAAUUUUUUAAGUAAGUUCCACUAGAAACAGUUCAUCUUAUACCUUCAAAACUGUUACCUGUUCUUUAAAAAACAAAGUUGCUUGUUACUUGUUCUUUGUGUUUUAGGUGCAGCUCAGUGGAAGAUGAUGACAACCAGAAGACAUGAGCUAAGGGUAAGGGACUGUUCUGAAGAACCUUUCCAUUUAGUGAUCAAGAUAUGGAAGCUGAUUUCUGAAAAUGCUCAGUGUGUACUCUAAUUAUUUAUGGUACCAUUUGAAUUGUAACUUGCAUUUUAGCAGUGCAUGUUUCUAAUUGACUUACUGGGAAACUGAAUAAAAUAUGCC